Molecule: long non-coding RNA, 1222 nt
Filed under: Capra hircus (goat)
Lineage: Eukaryota; Metazoa; Chordata; Mammalia; Artiodactyla; Bovidae
Description: lncRNA (ENSCHIG00010018867.1)
Source: RNAcentral
UUCAGCUGAUAUAAGAUAAAAUUAAUACCCACCGCAUUCACCUCCUCCUUGGACUAUUUUGAGCUGCCUGAUCUAACGGACCCUUCUUGCAGUGGCAAUCACAGCAAACCUUUUAAAUAUAUGUGACCAAUCAUGAGCAAAAUGUAUUAAUCUAACAAAAGUAACUGAAACUCUAAGUACUGUGAUAACAGCUACAGAGACUCCUAUUCUUACAAGUUUUAAACAGUUCUUUGAUAUGUUAUUUGUUAAAUGAGUUUUUAGAAAUGAAAUGCAGUCUCCUCUAAAUGACAAUCAGGGUCUUCAGAUGUCUAUACAAACUGUUUUUCCAUUUUAUCCCUAGCUUACCUUCCAAAUUCACCCACCCUCUGCUUCAGUUACAGAGUGUCUUUCACUCUUCCCAUAACACAAUUGUUUUUCCCACCUUUGUGCCUUUUCACACACUAUUAUCUUUGACUCCACUAUCCUUUCUAUCGUCUGUACCUGGUAAAGCUAAGCUGUUUAUAGCAACAGCUCCACAGACUGUAUAGUGAGUGUUGAUGUAAGAUUUUACACUGAAAAGACGUUGGUUCAUCUUUAAGGUCAACGUACCUUCUUUUCCUCUCUGCUGCCAUUUUAACUCAAGGCCAAGCCACUGGUAGAAUUGCAUGGACGUGUUUUUUGUAUUCUUUUUAUUGGAUGGGGAUUGUUUUCAAAACAACGUACAUACUUGUUUGCUUCCCUGAGAAAAAUCAGUCAUCAGCCUCACUUCUCUGAAACCUAGCAAAACCCCAGGUCCACUUCUGGCUCUUCCCGUAAAGCAUUGGUAGCCUAGGCCGGUCAGAGAGCUUCUCAGAAUAGUAAUAACUGGCUGGCAUGCAACACUUGAUUAUUAGCACCAAAAAAAGUAAUACAUGUGCAAACACUUGAAAACUAACAUUUCAUGUUUGUAACUGUUCUCGCUUUAACAGUUAACUGAAUAACUUCAAGAGCCAUGGGGUUUACACGCAGGAAAGAAAUGCAGGGUCAUCUGUUUUUUACUGUAAAGCACGCACCUGCCUUUGUUGCUGUCGUUCAGUCGCCGAGUCCUGCCUGACUCUUUAUGACCCCAUGGACUGCGGCACGCCAGGCUUCCAUAUCCCUCAUAAUCUCCCAGAGUUUGCUCAGGUUCAUGUGCAUUGAAUCGGUGAUGCCACCCAACCAUCUCAUCCUCUGUUGCCCUCUUCUCCUUCUGCCUUCAAUCUUU